AUUGAACGCUGGCGGCAGGCCUAACACAUGCAAGUCGAACGGUAACAGGAAGCAGCUUGCUGCUUUGCUGACGAGUGGCGGACGGGUGAGUAAUGUCUGGGAAACUGCCCGAUGGAGGGGGAUAACUACUGGAAACGGUAGCUAAUACCGCAUAACGUCGCAAGACCAAAGAGGGGGACCUUAGGGCCUCUUGCCAUCGGAUGUGCCCAGAUGGGAUUCGCUAGUAGGUGGGGUAACGGCUCACCUAGGCGACGAUCCCUAGCUGGUCUGAGAGGAUGACCCGCCACCCUGGGACUGGGGCACGGUCCCGACGCCUACGGGAAGGCACAGUGGGGAAUAUUGGGCAAGUGGGGGAAAGCUGGAGGAAGCAAGGCGGGGGGUUUGAAGAGGGCUUCCGGGUGGUAAAGUACUUUAAGCGGGGAGAAAGGAGGUAAAGUUAAACCCUUUGUUAUUGGCGGUACCCGCAGAAGAAGCACCGGCUAACUCCGUG
Molecule: ribosomal RNA, 490 nt
Filed under: uncultured bacterium
Lineage: Bacteria
Description: partial 16S ribosomal RNA
Rfam family: Bacterial small subunit ribosomal RNA
Source: RNAcentral